GAUGAACGCUGGCGGCGUGCCUAAUACAUGCAAGUCGAGCGAACGGACGAGAAGCUUGCUUCUCUGAUGUUAGCGGCGGACGGGUGAGUAACACGUGGAUAACCUACCUAUAAGACUGGGAUAACUUCGGGAAACCGGAGCUAAUCCCGGAUAAUAUUUUGAACCGCAUGGUUCAAAAGUGAAAGACGGUCUUGCUGUCACUUAUAGAUGGAUCCGCGCUGCAUUAGCUAGUUGGUAAGGUAACGGCUUACCAAGGCAACGAUGCAUAGCCGACGUGAGAGGGUGAUCGGCCACACUGGAGCUGAGACACGGUCCAGACGCCUACGGGAGGCAGCAGUAGGGAAUCGUCCGCAGUGGGCGAAAGCCUGACGGAGCAACGCCGCGUGAGUGAUGAAGGUCUUCGGAUCGUAAAACUCUGUUAUUAGGGAAGAACAUAUGUGUAAGUAACUGUGCACAUCUUGACGGUACCUAAUCAGAAAGCCACGGCUAACUACGUG
Molecule: ribosomal RNA, 497 nt
Filed under: uncultured bacterium
Lineage: Bacteria
Description: partial 16S ribosomal RNA
Rfam family: Bacterial small subunit ribosomal RNA
Source: RNAcentral